UGGAUCCAGACUUUGAUUAUGGCUCAGGAUGAACGCUAGCUACAGGCUUAACACAUGCAAGUCGAGGGGCAGCAUGAACUUAGCUUGCUAAGUUUGAUGGCGACCGGCGCACGGGUGAGUAACACGUAUCCAACCUGCCGAUGACUCGGGGAUAGCCUUUCGAAAGAAAGAUUAAUACCCGAUGGCAUAGUUCUUCCGCAUGGUAGAACUAUUAAAGAAUUUCGGUCAUCGAUGGGGAUGCGUUCCAUUAGGUUGUUGGCGGGGUAACGGCCCACCAAGCCUUCGAUGGAUAGGGGUUCUGAGAGGAAGGUCCCCCACAUUGGAACUGAGACACGGUCCAAACUCCUACGGGAGGCAGCAGUGAGGAAUAUUGGUCAAUGGACGAGAGUCUGAACCAGCCAAGUAGCGUGAAGGAUGACUGCCCUAUGGGUUGUAAACUUCUUUUAUACGGGAAUAAAGUGAGGCACGUGUGCCUUUUUGUAUGUACCGUAUGAAUAAGGAUCGGCUAACUCCGUGCCAGCAGCCGCGGUAAUACGGAGGAUCCGAGCGUUAUCCGGAUUUAUUGGGUUUAAAGGGAGCGUAGGCGGACGCUUAAGUCAGUUGUGAAAGUUUGCGGCUCAACCGUAAAAUUGCAGUUGAUACUGGGUGUCUUGAGUACAGUAGAGGCAGGCGGAAUUCGUGGUGUAGCGGUGAAAUGCUUAGAUAUCACGAAGAACUCCGAUUGCGAAGGCAGCCUGCUGGACUGUAACUGACGCUGAUGCUCGAAAGUGUGGGUAUCAAACAGGAUUAGAUACCCUGGUAGUCCACACAGUAAACGAUGAAUACUUGCUGUUUGCGAUAUACAGUAAGCGGCCAAGCGAAAGCGUUAAGUAUUCCACCUGGGGAGUACGCCGGCAACGGUGCAACUCAAAUGAAUUGACGGA
Molecule: ribosomal RNA, 923 nt
Filed under: uncultured Bacteroidota bacterium
Lineage: Bacteria; Pseudomonadati; Bacteroidota
Description: bacterial SSU rRNA
Rfam family: Bacterial small subunit ribosomal RNA
Source: RNAcentral